GAGGGCGCUUACCACUUUGUGAUUCAUGACUUGGGUGAAGUCGUAACAAGGUAACCGUAGGGGAACCUGCGGUUGGAUCACCUCCUUACCUUAAAGAA
RNAcentral lists this ribosomal RNA (98 nucleotides) under Klebsiella pneumoniae. Its description in RNAcentral is "partial 16S ribosomal RNA". The stretch from base 1 to 88 matches the Rfam family "Bacterial small subunit ribosomal RNA", at positions 1446 to 1533 of the family's 1533-position model. The record is from RNAcentral. Lineage: Bacteria; Pseudomonadati; Pseudomonadota; Gammaproteobacteria; Enterobacterales; Enterobacteriaceae.